This 458-nucleotide ribosomal RNA is filed under the name uncultured bacterium. RNAcentral describes it as "partial 16S ribosomal RNA". It matches the Rfam family "Bacterial small subunit ribosomal RNA", at positions 338 to 795 of the family's 1533-position model. The record is from RNAcentral.
CCUACGGGUGGCAGCAGUGAGGAAUAUUGGUCAAUGGGCGGAAGCCUGAACCAGCCAAGUAGCGUGCGGGAUGAAGGCCCUACGGGUCGUAAACCGCUUUUUCACGGUGAUAACACCCUCCACUUGUGGAGGUAUGCAGGUCCCGUGCGAAUAAGGGCCGUUAAAUUCCGUGCCAGCAGCCGCGGUAAUACGGAAGUCCCGAGCGUUAUCCGGUUUCAUGGGGCUUAAAGGGAGCGUAGGCGGCUUUAAAGGCCGCUGUAAAAUCGGGCGGCUCAACCGCGCCCCGCAGUUGAAACUGGAGGCCUUGAGUUCACAACAGGCAGGCGGAAUUCGUGGUGUAGCGGUGAAAUGCAUAGAUAUCACGAGGAACCCCGAUUGCGAAGGCAGCCUGCCGGGGUGCGACUGACGCUGAGGCUCGAAGGUGCGGGUAUCAAACAGGAUUAGAUACCCCAGUAGUC